CCUAAUUCUUUUGAUUUUGGAGAAAUAAAAGUGAGAAAAUUUUUUAUACAUGUUAGUGAAAGCAUAUAAGUGAAUAAAUCUUGAAAUAUAUCAAUUCUUAUCAGGAUUAAUAAAAUAAAAUCUUAUUAAACCUAAGACGAGUAGUAUCAGAACCACGUUUUAACUGAAACAAAGAAAAAUCUAAGACAGCAGUAAAGAAUACUAUACAAUUAAUGUAAAUUAGAUAUGGAAAUUUUCUUAAACUUUGUCUAAUUAAGUGCCAGCAGACGCGGUUAUACUUAAGAAGUAAAUUUUUAUGAUAAAAUAGGUAACAAUAUGUGUAGAAUAAUAAAAUAUGUAUUAUAAAUGUUUUUGAAUUGGUUAAAUAAACAAAAAUUAGAAACCCAAAAAAGAAGUUAUAAUACUUAAAAAUUUGAAACAUGAGAAAAAGGACAUUAAAUAGGAUUAGAUACCCUAGUAAACCUUUUUGUAAAUUAAGAAACUUUCUACCUGAAUAGUAUACUUUUAAGAGUGAAAAUCAAAAAUUUUGGCUGUUUAUUUUCUAAUUAGAGGAGUAUGUGAUUUAAUUCGAUAAUCCGCGAAAUACCUUACCUACUUUAGAUUAUCAGGUGCUGCAUGGUCGUCGUCAAUUUAAUUAUAUAAUUUAAAUUUAACCCAAGCUAGGAUAAAGUCAGAUAGUAUGGCCCUUAUAAGUAGGGAUAUCAUGUACUACAAUAUUUAAAUUAAUCUAAUUUUAAAAAUAGAACAUUAAUGUAAUUUAAUGUGAAAGAGAAUUUAAUAGUAAUUGAAAAAAUAAUGUUUCAAUGAAUUAGUUCAAAUAUGAGUACAAAUUGCCCGUCGCCUUUAUUGAUAAUUAAUUUUAAAAAUAGAGCAAGUCGUAACAUAGUGGGGGAAAGGGAACUUUUCCCUGCAGAAAUUUAA
Molecule: ribosomal RNA, 921 nt
Filed under: Melicertum octocostatum
Lineage: Eukaryota; Metazoa; Cnidaria; Hydrozoa; Leptothecata; Melicertidae
Description: 12S ribosomal RNA
Rfam family: Microsporidia small subunit ribosomal RNA (bases 154-918)
Source: RNAcentral